RNAcentral lists this ribosomal RNA (1354 nucleotides) under uncultured bacterium. RNAcentral's name for it is "partial 16S ribosomal RNA". It matches the Rfam family "Bacterial small subunit ribosomal RNA", at positions 28 to 1381 of the family's 1533-position model. The record is from RNAcentral.
GACGCACUCUGGCGGCGUGCUUAACACAUGCAAGUCGAACGGAAAGGCCCUUUGCUUGCAAGGGGUACUCGAGUGGCGAACGGGUGAGUAACACGUGGGUGAUCUGCCUUGCACUUCGGGAUAAGCCUGGGAAACCGGGUCUAAUACCGGAUAGGACCAUGCUUUAGUGUGUGUGGUGGAAAGUUUUUUCGGUGCAAGAUGAGCCCGCGGCCUAUCAGCUUGUUGGUGGGGUAAUGGCCUACCAAGGCGACGACGGGUAGCCGGCCUGAGAGGGUGUACGGCCACAUUGGGACUGAGACACGGCCCAGACUCCUACGGGAGGCAGCAGUGGGGAAUAUUGCANCAUGGGCGCAAGCCUGAUGCAGCGACGCCGCGUGGGGGAUGACGGCCUUCGGGUUUGUAACUCCUUUCGCUAGGGAAGAAGCCACUGUGUGGUGACGGUACCUGGAUAAGAAGCACCGGCUAACUACGUGCCAGCAGCCGCGGUAAUACGUAGGGUGCGAGCGUUGUUCCGAAAUACUGGGCGUAAAGAGCUCGUAGGUGGUUUGUCCCGUCGUCUGUAAAACCCGGGGGCUAACUUCCGGCUGCAGGCAAUACGGGCAUAACUAGAGUGCUCUUUGGGAGACUGUAAUUCCUGGUGUAGCGGUGAAAUGCGCAUAUAUCAGGAGGAACACCGAUGGCGAAGGCACGUCUCUGGGCACUUACCGACGCUGAGGAGCGAAAGCGUGGGUAGCGAACAUGAUUACACCCCGUGGCAGUCCAUGCCACAAACGGCGCGCGCUAUGGGGGGGGGUUUUAUUUACUAUUCCGCCGCCGUAGCUAACGCCAUAAGCGCCCCCGCCUGGGGAGUACCGCCCGCAAGGCCUAAAACUCAAAGGAAUUGACCGGGGGGCCCCACAAAGCGGCGAGGCAUGUGGAUAAAUUCGAUGCAACGCGAGAACCUUAACCUGGGCUGNACAUACACCGCGAUCGCUGCAGAGAUGUAGUUCCCCUUGUGGCUGGUGUACAGGUGGUGCAUGGUUGUCGUCAGCUCGUGUCGUGAGAUGUUGGGUUAAGUCCCGCAACGAGCGCAACCCUUGUCUUGUGCUGCCAGCACGUUAUGGUGGGGACUCGCGAGAGACUGCCGGGGUUAACUCGGAGGAAGGUGGGGAUGACGUCAAAUCAUCAUGCCCCUUAUGUCCAGGGCUUCACACAUGCUACAAUGGUCGGUACAGUGGGUUGCGAUACCGUGAGGUGGAGCUAAUCCCUUAAAGCCGGUCUCAGUUCGGAUUGGAGUCUGCAACUCGACUCCAUGAAGUCGGAGUCGCUAGUAAUCGCAGAUCAGCAACGCUGCGGUGAAUACGUUCCCGGGCCU